RNAcentral lists this non-coding RNA (28 nucleotides) under Arabidopsis thaliana (thale cress). Lineage: Eukaryota; Viridiplantae; Streptophyta; Magnoliopsida; Brassicales; Brassicaceae. RNAcentral also lists the same sequence under 1 other name. The record is from RNAcentral.
UGACGUGCAAAUCGUUCGUCUGACUUGG